AGGGUGUAAACGCUGCAGACUUGGUGUUGGAAAUCCUUCGAGGGUAUUCAGUGCCGGAGAGAAGUUGUUAAGUCUGCUACUUGGGGAGUACGUCCGCAAGGAUGAAACUUAAAGGAAUUGGCGGGGGAGCACCGCAACGGGAGGAGCGUGCGGUUUAAUUGGAUUCAACACCGGAAAUCUCACCGGAUAGGACAGACAUAUGAUAGUCGGGCUGAAGACUCUACUUGAUGAUCUGAGAGGUGGUGCAUGGCGUCAGUGACU
RNAcentral lists this ribosomal RNA (261 nucleotides) under uncultured archaeon. Its description in RNAcentral is "partial 16S ribosomal RNA". It matches the Rfam family "Archaeal small subunit ribosomal RNA", at positions 748 to 1008 of the family's 1478-position model. The record is from RNAcentral.